Molecule: ribosomal RNA, 133 nt
Filed under: Sporosarcina sp. P1
Lineage: Bacteria; Bacillati; Bacillota; Bacilli; Caryophanales; Caryophanaceae
Description: partial 16S ribosomal RNA
Rfam family: Bacterial small subunit ribosomal RNA
Source: RNAcentral
GUUUGUAACACCCGAAGUCGGUGGGGUAACCCUUAGGGGAGCUAGCCGCCGAAGGUGGGACAGAUGAUUGGGGUGAAGUCGUAACAAGGUAGCCGUAUCGGAAGGUGCGGCUGGAUCACCUCCUUUCUAAGGA